This 461-nucleotide ribosomal RNA is filed under the name uncultured bacterium. Its description in RNAcentral is "bacterial SSU rRNA". It matches the Rfam family "Bacterial small subunit ribosomal RNA", at positions 28 to 485 of the family's 1533-position model. The record is from RNAcentral.
GAUGAACGCUGGCGGCGUGCCUAACACAUGCAAGUCGAACGAAGCUUGACGGAUGAUUUCUUCGGAAUGAAACCUGAUAUGACUUAGUGGCGGACGGGUGAGUAACACGUGAGCAACCUGCCUUUCAGAGGGGGAUAACGGCUGGAAACGGUCGCUAAUACCGCAUGAUGUGUUCGGAUGGCAUCAUCUGAACAUCAAAGAUUUAUCGCUGAAAGAUGGGCUCGCGUCUGAUUAGAUAGUUGGUGGGGUAACGGCCUACCAAGUCUACGAUCAGUAGCCGGACUGAGAGGUUGAACGGCCACAUUGGGACUGAGAUACGGCCCAGACUCCUACGGGAGGCAGCAGUGGGGAAUAUUGCACAAUGGGGGAAACCCUGAUGCAGCAACGCCGCGUGAAGGAUGACGGUUUUCGGAUUGUAAACUUCUUUUCUUAGUGACGAAGACAGUGACGGUAGCUAAGGA